UACGGAAGGCAGCAGUGGGGAAUAUUGCACAAUGGGCGAAAGCCUGAUGCAGCUAUGCCGCGUGUAUGAAGAAGGCCUUAGGGUUGUAAAGUACUUUCAUCGGGGAGGAAAAAACAAAACUAAUAAUUUUAUUUCUUGACGUUACCCGAAAAAGAAGCACCGGCUAACUCCGUGCCAGCAGCCGCGGUAAUACGGAGGGUGCUAGCGUUAAUCAGAAUUACUGGGCGUAAAGAGCACGUAGGUGGUUUUUUUAAAGUCAGAUGUGAAAUCCCCUGGGCUUAACCUAGGAACUGCAUUUUGAAACUGAAAUACUAGAGUAUCGUAGAGGGAGGUAGAAUUCUAGGUGUAGCGGUGAAAUGCGUAGAUAUCUGGAGGAAUACCUGUGGCGAAAGCGGCCUCCUAAACGAAUACUGACACUGAGGUGCGAAAGCGUGGGGAGCAAACAGGGAUUAGAUACC
This 458-nucleotide ribosomal RNA is filed under the name uncultured bacterium. RNAcentral describes it as "bacterial SSU rRNA". It matches the Rfam family "Bacterial small subunit ribosomal RNA", at positions 340 to 786 of the family's 1533-position model. The record is from RNAcentral.